Molecule: long non-coding RNA, 4323 nt
Organism: Columba livia (rock pigeon)
Lineage: Eukaryota; Metazoa; Chordata; Aves; Columbiformes; Columbidae
Exons: 6
Source: RefSeq, a predicted model, not a curated record
CUCCCCUGGCACAACUUGAGGCCGUUUCCUCUGCUCCUGGCGCUUGUUCCUGGGGAGCAGAGCCCGACCCCCCUGGCUCCAAGCUCCUUUCAGGCAGUUCAGAGAUCAGAAGGUCUCCCCUCAGCUCCUGUUCUCCAGCUGAACCCCCCAGGUCCCUCAGCUGCUCCUCAUUUUUGUGUCUGGGAAGGGCUUAAAACCUUGGUAUAAGUCUCCUGCUCUGCAAAACUUCCCUGUCUCUGAGUCUUGUCUCUCUGAGAAGGAGCACAUUUCCCUUUAUAACCCUCUGACCACUCAAAAAGGCACCUAAAAUGAAAAAAGGGAUCUCCCGGUGGGGGUUUUUGCCCAUGUGGAUAUCAUACAAGUGUCCCCAGGGCCAGCCCCGAGGGCACACGGCCCCUCCAAGCACCUGGAGGCAUAUUGGCAUUCCCAAUCUUCGGGCCCCAUCUCGUGGCAAACACGUCGCACGGCAAGCCCUGGCCAGGGCACAGUCCCCAGGGACAUGGGACAGUGCCUGGGGCUGGGCUUUCACCACUGUUUUGGGGCUGUGAGCUGCUAUUUCCUAUGGGGACGGGAGUGUUGGGCGCCAAGGAGGUGGGGGGAAGCCCCUGUGAAGAUGCUGUGGAGUGGGAUGGCUCCCACAAGUCUUUGUGAACAUCUGUGUCCCUGGGCCACCACGGGGCAAGAGCUGCGGGGUAUGGGUGAAUGUCCUCAGACCCAUCCAAAAUCAAACCAAUCCCCUUGUCCCCGCAAAUCGUCACCCUGGACCAGCUCUUCUGCCGCUGAGACAUAGUCCCUGAAGCUGCUGUCACCUUAACUUCCCUGUCCCUUGGAGCAGGAGACCAGGGCAGGUUUAUCUCCUUAACCCUGCACUUUCCACCCCUUGGAGGGGAGAUUGGGGCAGGUUGUACAGGCAGAAUUUGAAGGAGCCACUUGAUUUUCACUUCUUUGCCUCACUCACCCCUGCCCAAAACUCCACAGAGCUUCCCAAGGCAACAACUGUCCCCUUAACCCUGCCCUGUGUCCAGAUGAGAGAAGAAGAAUGCGAAGCAGCUGUGGCAUGACCCAGACACCACUGUUACCGUAGGAUGGGGGAGAAAAACCCUCCCCAGGCACAUAACCCCCAUGCAAGAGCAAUUCAUGACCCGACACUUUCCUUCCUUCAGCCAAAUCCGAUCUUUAAACCCUGGGACUUAGUUUUUCCUUGUAAAAGCUUAACAGGACAAACAUAUUAUUCCAACCCCAAGGGCUCCCCCUUCGGAGCUGCGAUUUAGCCCUAGAAGCAUCAUCCCCCCCAAAAAAACCCACUCCUUGCAUCUCCCGCUAGCAGGAUGGUGGAACUUGGGACAUGAAUUUAGAUAUGGCCAAAUUCAUCACCCCUGUCUGCAGCCCCUGCUCUUCUGGGGACACUAUUUGGUCCAGAGCUGCUGGUUGGAGAAUGGAAACAUCUCCAAAAGCUCUUGCAGAGCCGGCACAACUGCUGGGAGAGAACUGAGCUGGUUCGAGCUGUUGCUGCCCUCUCCAGAGCCGCGGAGCAGCGUCUCCACCUCGCCUGUCCCCGACAGCUAUUUUACAACUGUCUGAAUCAGGUGUCGUGUCCCCAUGGCCAGAUCAGACUUUUUCCCCUUAGCAAAACACUCUGGAGACCCAAGCCGAGCAAGGGGAAAGGCAGAGCAAGGGGGAAACACGGCAGAAACGCAUCAGCGCCCAGCGCCUCGUUUCCUGCUCCUCGGCUGCGGGGAGGAUAACCUGGCAAAAGAGCAAAAAUCAAGGCAAAGCAGCAAAAAAAUGCAGCGUCCGGCUGUGCUGGCGGACAACAAAAGCUGGGUUUUGUGUCAUGGUGUGCCAGAAAGUUUUAGUGGAGCAGGAAAGAAGCUGGAAUUGAGUAUUCCUCCUCCAGAAAAAACAGCAAGAAAAGAAACAAAAACACCUGUGGUGGAUCUGGGGAACUCGGAGUUAAAUCUGCUGCUGCCGGAGGAGGGUGACCCGCAGGUGGGUGCAUUUUGCAGGGGGUGGAAAUUUCUGGGAUGCCUGUGAGCGAUUUACAAGCAUUAUAUUGAGAUGGUACUGAGGUGGGAUUAUUUGUACGGGCUGAAGAUUUACCUCUUGGUUUGAAAAGAGAGAAGUAAAUCGUUCUGGCAAGGCAGCUCCGGCAAACUGGGGACAAAGCUAUUUGCUGGUUAUCACAGGCUCCUUGGCAGCAGAGGCACAGGAUAAAGCUCAUUUUUUCCCUACCAAAAAAGAAACGUGGAACCUGAUCUCCCAAAGAAAGCACUGAAAUAUUUAAAGUUUGUGCAAAUGAAACCGGCUGCUGGUUAAUAAAUGAAACCCAGGCACUCACCUGGUUGUCCUCGGUGGCUGCGGUGGGAAGGGGUUCGCUGCGGUCUCACUCCGAGGAGAGAGGCAUCAGGCUGCGGAGGGAGGAGGAUCUCGCUGCGGUACAAGAUUGCCCAUCUCCCAUCUCUCCAUAACUCUACAAUGAACGUCCCUUCCUCUCCUCUGAGGCUGAUUUUUGGGAUCGUUGUGCUGGUGAGGCUGCAGCAGCUGGACGAAGUGGGUGGGAGACACAUUGCUUAAGAAAUGUGAUGGUUACUUCUCUACAGGGUUGCUAAGGAACUGCCCGCGGGCAUCGGAUGCCACGAUGAGAUUUGAUGUCAACAUUCCUGCCGAGGGGUUCACCAGUCCACAGUGAUGCACCCUCCUCUUCUCUAAUGCCCUGGUGUAGCUGAUAGCUGGAGUGGAUCAAUGAAAUGCGGGGCUGGACUCUCUUGGGGAGAAACCACAACAUGAAGGAAAGCUUUCUCCCCUUGAUUUUGGUAAAUAAAUGCCACUUUGAGUUAUUCGUGAGCUGGCUGGUGGCAAUGGUUGCCAAGAGGUGAUGCUGUUGCACCCUGCAUUGGAGAAAAGCUCCUGGGAUCAUCUCCAUUGUCCUGGUGGAAACCCAACACUGCAGCACACAGGGAGGGCAGAGACAGAUGUCCAAGAGGACAUGUUCUGGGAGGGUUUGGGCAACUGAAGGAGGCAGGGAGAAUGUGCACUCCGUACAAAUAGCAUGUCUGUAGGAUGGAGAUAUGCCCUGUGCAUUACCGUAUCACCAGAGAUGGUGUAGCCAUGGUUGGUCAAGGUGGUAAUGAGCAGUCUGGCAUUUCCUCUGAUGGCCAAACCAAAGCCUUUCUUCUUAAAUCCUCCUCCUUGGGAAAACCUCCCUACUUUUCUGCGACAAACCCCGUAGCCCUGGGCAGGACUGUCCAAAUGCUGGACCCUGGGUGACACACGGUCUUGGGCAUCCCAAGAGAAGCCAAGGACAAGGUGGUUGGUUUGUGGGGACAUGCAGAACUGGGUCAGAAUGGAGUUGGUCCAAAGUUAUUGCAGACCAUAAAUAUAUAUAUAUAUAUAUAUUUCCAUUUGCUAGUAAAACACCACAGGCUUUGAACUGACCUGACACCCUGGGCCAGGUGGUGGUGGCCACUCGAUUGUGACAACCCCGUAUUUCUCCUGGUGCCCUCACUUGGUGUCUGGUGUCACCACACCAGAGAAAAGGGAGAUGCUACAAGGGUUUUCUUUCUUUGAAUAAUAAAUAUUAUUACUGAUCUUUUUUCUAUAUUAAUUAAAAAGUGAGAACUAUGACACUGUUGAGGUGUUAACUGGGCUAUCGGUAAUUUCUUAGCACUGUGUUUACAGUGUGCCCCCUUUUGGCCAUGCAGAUAUUUUUGUUCCAGUCCAGCUGUGGGCUGGUUUACAUCAGGAAGGAUCAUUUGGGGGCACAGGGGUUCGCAAGCAGAGACGUCCCAAAUCAAAACAAUGUGAGUGAACCUUUCUGCAAGUGUAUCCCCAGCCCCUCAUAUAGCUAAAUUCCUUUUCUCUUGUUUUAAGGCUCUGAAAUGCUGUUUGCUCUGCACAAUUGUGGGAGUUCAACGCCAUGUGCCCCUUGGCACGGUCCCACCUAAAUAAACAUUUUCAUACCAGGAUGACAAAUGAACUUGUGGAUUGUGCACUCCAUUAAGUCUCUGUUUCCUUGCCCAGAGCGAUUAUUUUGUUGAGGCAAUCCUCCAGCCCCCCAUCACUGAGAUGCCAAGAAAAUUUUAAAAUAUGGGGUGUUUCCCAGAAAAACACCUGUUUCUUGAUGUUAUGACCUCACCUGGAAAUGCGUAAAUGCUCUCUUUUGGGUGAUGCUGCACCCUCUGCUUUGCUCAGCCAGGAACACUUUGUUUCUUUUCCGAGGGAUUAUUUUUCUUGCCAUGAUACAACACCUGAAUGUUUUUCUUGCCGAAGUACAUUUUGAUACAGAACAUCAUUUCAGGAGGAAAUGUCAGUCUGAAAAUGGCA